This 1014-nucleotide long non-coding RNA is filed under the name Ananas comosus (pineapple). RNAcentral describes it as "long non-coding RNA (ACOM_LNC037260)". Lineage: Eukaryota; Viridiplantae; Streptophyta; Magnoliopsida; Poales; Bromeliaceae. The record is from RNAcentral.
UAAAAUCGAAACAAAACAUCUACCUGCAGUAGGGCACCUCUAGCUCAGCACGUCGGGUAGGGCUCUAACUCGCGAUGCCCUUGCCUCGAUCCUGGUCCGCGGACGGUGCAGCAGCCGGAACCUGUGGCUCUGCAAAAUAUAGGUAACAACUGGGCGUGAGAACUACUGUAAAAACAAGUAGUCCUCAGUGGGUACCGCCCAAAACAACAUCGGUCCACCCACUAAGUCUACAGAAGGGAGCAAGAGUAGUCAGAAAAGUAGGAAAUAAACUCUACCGUUAUCGAUCACUACACUAUCAUGCUCUAAACUAACCAACUGUAGGAAAUGUCAACUCUGACCCAAUCAACUUGGGACUGUAAGCAUACCCGUCCUCGGGACUGUGAAUACACCCGUCCCUGCCCCGUUGCGACUAUCAAGCUCUAUCCACACUAACUGGUCCGUGGAGAGCAAGUCCAACUGGCAUGAGCGACACCAACGCGAAAGCACAAAGCCUGACUCCGGAGUGGCACUCGUGGGCGCUACCCAACCGAAUAUGCAGCGUAUCUCUGUCGAGCUCAAACAGGCUCUGAAAAGCCAAAGUCAAGAAAUCGACUCUAACUGGUCUAACAACCAAUAAGUAAUGUGCCCUCGGCACAAUCAGACGCCAAAAAGGCGAUACGGGUCCACCGUCAAUCUCAACGGCACCCUACAGUCCGGAACAGCCUGAACGACCCUGUAAAAUCCCCUCGGCGAACCAGCACGAGUGUAGAUACAUUCUAAACUACCUGGAGUACUCGUCUCGAAGAUACUGCGACAGUACAAUAUAAUAACGGCUCCUAGAGCUAAAUCAGGCAGUUUAAUCAAGUGACAGAUCCAAAUCGCAGGUUUUCUCCUAAUUCAGUUUCCAAGUUCAACAUAUAUAAUCUACUUAAUUUAUUACCACAUGCUUCAAAUUCAGAUUUGCAUUCUAUCAUGUAAUCCAUGAAUUCGAGCUAGAAUAAAUUAUCAAAAUCGAGAUCUAUACAUGUUGACGAU